RNAcentral lists this ribosomal RNA (253 nucleotides) under uncultured bacterium. Its description in RNAcentral is "partial 16S ribosomal RNA". It matches the Rfam family "Bacterial small subunit ribosomal RNA", at positions 524 to 776 of the family's 1533-position model. The record is from RNAcentral.
UACGUAGGGGGCAAGCGUUGUCCGGAUUUAUUGGGCGUAAAGAGCGUGUAGGCGGCCUGACAGGUCUGCUGUGAAAACUCGAGGCUCAACCUCGAGAUGUCGGCGGAAACCGUCUGGCUAGAGUCCGGAAGAGGAGAGUGGAAUUCCUGGUGUAGCGGUGAAAUGCGCAGAUAUCAGGAGGAACACCGGUGGCGAAGGCGGGUCUCUGGGCCGAUAUCGACGCUGAGGAGCGAAAGCGUGGGGAGCGAACAGG